This 1112-nucleotide long non-coding RNA is filed under the name Zonotrichia albicollis (white-throated sparrow). Its description in RNAcentral is "lncRNA (ENSZALG00000001921.1)". The record is from RNAcentral. Lineage: Eukaryota; Metazoa; Chordata; Aves; Passeriformes; Passerellidae.
AUAAAAUAAAAUAAAAUAAAAUAAAAUAAAAUAAAAUAAAAUAAAAUAAAAUAAAAUAAAAUAAAAUAAAAUAAAAUAAUAUCUCCAGAACAUCGCUGGAAUCAUCGCCAUCCAUCCCCAUCCCUCCUCAGCCCUCAGGGGCGUUCCGUGAGAGGAUUAAAUGAAUUAAAUCCUGCAGCCGGCGCGGGGCUGGGUGUGAUGGUGAAUUAUUCAUCCCUCCAAUAACGCGGCUGAUUUAUUAAUGAAAAGGUCAGAGCGCCGCUGGAAGAGGAGAAUUGUUGGGAAAAGCGCUUUGGGAUUGGGAGGAUUCGGGACGGGCUGCGAGGAACAGCGCAGCUCGUCCCCAUCAGCGCGGAGCCGCACGUUCCCGGCUGGAAAAUUGGGAAUAUCGGAGCUGGAGAGAGAGAAAAAGAGGGAGGAGAAAGAGGAGAAAGAGGAGCGGCCUCCGCUGCCUCCUCCCGGCAGGAGAACCUGGGGAGCCGAGCAGACCCAGAGCUUCCACAUCAGCAGGGAAGCGAUGCCGAUCCCCAUCCCGAUGCCGAUCCCUCCCCGCGGCGGGAGCUCCCCAAUCCCCUCGGGAAUUUUGGGAAUCCCGGGAUCAGGAGCGCUUUUCGUUGUGGUUAUUCCGGGGGACUCGCAGAGCUGAGCUCCGGGGUGGGGUUGGUCCCGAUUUGGGCACCCCCUUCCCUUUGCUCGGCUUUCCAGAAGGAGAAAAGCAGCCAGGAUGGCCUUUGCCGGGAAUUUUAGGAAUAUUUCCAGGUUUUCACACCUCGGGGUUGUCACGGGGCUGUGACAGCGCAGGGACAGCAAAGGGAGGGAUCAGGGAAUCCCAAAUCCAGGAUCAGUCUUUCCCACAUUCCCAGCAAAGGGAGGGUUCAGGGCAUCCGAAAAACAGAUUCAGCCCUUCUCUCGUUCCCUGGACAGCAAAGGGAGUUCUCAGAGAAUCCCAAAUCCAAGUUCAGCCCUUCCCUCGCUCCCAGGGAUGUAAAGGGAGCGCUCAGAGCAUCCCAAAUCCAGGUUCUGGCCUUGCCACUUCCUUUGGAUGGCAAAGGGAGCAUUCAGGGAAUCCCAAACCCAGGUUCGGCCCUUCCUUCAUUCCCUGAAUAACAAAG